RNAcentral lists this ribosomal RNA (1074 nucleotides) under Draculoides gnophicola. Its description in RNAcentral is "partial large subunit ribosomal RNA". The record is from RNAcentral. Lineage: Eukaryota; Metazoa; Arthropoda; Arachnida; Schizomida; Hubbardiidae. RNAcentral also lists the same sequence under 1 other name.
UCCCUUAGUAGCGGCGAGCGAACAGGGAAGAGCCCAGCGCCGAAUUCCGCGUCUCAAAGGGCGUUUGGAACAUGUGGCGUUUAGGAGGAAUCUCUCCGAGGGCAGACGGUGUCGCAAGUCCCCCUGAACGGGGCUGUGAUCCAGAGCGGGUGCGAGGCCCAUAGCUGGUACCGUCUCCUUUGGGUGUCCCCUCCUUGGAGUCGGGUUGCUUGGGAGUGCAGCCCUAAUUGGGUGGUAAACUCCACCUAAGGCUAAAUACGUCCGUGAGACCGAUAGCAAACAAGUACCGUGAGGGAAAGUUGCAAAGAACUUUGAAGAGAGAGUUCAAGAGUACGUGAAACCGCUCAGAGGCAAACGGGUGGGCCCACGAAAGCCGAAGGCGGGGGGAUUCAGUCGAGAGGACGGUGGGGCAGGACUGGCUGGUUGGACGGACCGUGCCAGGCCGGGUCAGUUCCCGAGAUCUGCCGCCUUUCGACGCAUUUCCCCCUGCUUAGUAGGACGCCGCAACCGGUUGGCGCUGCAGCCAUAAGGGAGAGUAAAUGGAAGGUAGCCAGUGAGUUCUUCUUCGGAGGCGCGAGCUGGUCCUAAGCCGACUCUCCUGGUGCUUGUGGCCCGACCGUGGUCGUGAGUCCCUCAACGGGAUGUCGCCGAGCCCUCUGASUGGAGCGGGAGAAGUGGCAGGCUGCUUUCCGCGGAAAAAAUCGAUCGCUUCACGCGUGCAGUGGGCGAUCUCCGGAGGUAGCUGCUGGUGCGUUUUUCUCCUGCGCUGGGCACAGGCAGUUGGCGGCGAGUAGGUCGGUCACCCACCCGACCCGUCUUGAAACACGGACCAAGGAGUCUAACAUGUGCGCGAGUCAUUGGGUCUUGAACAAGCCCAAAGGCGCAAUGAAAGUGAAGACCAGCACUGAAGCUGGUGGAGUUGGGAAACUGUGUCACUGAAGAUGCAGUUGCACCAACGGCCCGUCCCGUCCGCAUUGUCGGUGGGGCGGAGCGAGAGCGUACACGUUGGGACCCGAAAGAUGGUGAACUAUGCCUGGGCAGGACGAAGCCAGAGGAAACUCUGGUGGAGGUCCG